ACUCCUACGGGAGGCAGCAGUAGGGAAGUCUUCCUACAAUGGGCGCAAGCCUGAUGGAGCAACACCGCGUGAGUGAAGAAGGGUUUCGGUCUCGUAAAGCUCUGUUGUUAAAGAAGAACACGUAUGAGAGUAACUGUUCAUACGUUGACGGUAUUUAACCAGAAAGUCACGGCUAACUACGUGCCAGCAGCCGCGGUAAUACGUAGGUGGCAAGCGUUAUCCGGAUUUAUUGGGCGUAAAGAGAGUGCAGGCGGUUUUCUAAGUCUGAUGUGAAAGCCUUCGGCUUAACCGGAGAAGUGCAUCGGAAACUGGAUAACUUGAGUGCAGAAGAGGGUAGUGGAACUCCAUGUGUAGCGGUGGAAUGCGUAGAUAUAUGGAAGAACACCAGUGGCGAAGGCGGCUACCUGGUCUGCAACUGACGCUGAGACUCGAAAGCAUGGGUAGCGAACAGGAUUAGAUACCCUGGUAGGAUAGCG
Molecule: ribosomal RNA, 476 nt
Filed under: uncultured bacterium
Lineage: Bacteria
Description: bacterial SSU rRNA
Rfam family: Bacterial small subunit ribosomal RNA
Source: RNAcentral